This 513-nucleotide ribosomal RNA is filed under the name uncultured bacterium. RNAcentral describes it as "partial 16S ribosomal RNA". It matches the Rfam family "Bacterial small subunit ribosomal RNA", at positions 29 to 523 of the family's 1533-position model. The record is from RNAcentral.
AGCGAACGUUAGCGGCGGGCCUAACACAUGCAAGUCGAGCGAGAAAGUGGCUUCGGCCACGAGUAAAGCGGCGGACGGGUGAGUAACACGUAGGUAAUCUUCCCUUGAGCGGGGGACAACGAGCCGAAAGGCUCGCUAAUACCGCAUACGUUUCCAGAGGCCCCGGUCCCUGGCAGGAAAGCUAAGCCGCAAGGUCUGGCACCCGAGGAGGAGCCGGCGUCGCAUCAGCUAGUUGGUGGGGUAACGGGCUACCAAGGCGAAGACGCGUAGCUGGUCUGAGAGGAUGAUCAGCCACACUGGGACUGAGACACGGCCCAGACUCCUACGGGAGGCAGCAGUGGGGAAUAUUGGACAAUGGGCGCAAGCCUGAUCCAGCCACGCCGCGUGAGUGAUGAAGGCCUUCGGGUCGUAAAGCUCUGUGGGGAGGGACGAACCGCUGCACGUUCAUAGCGUGCAGCAUGACGGUACCUCCUUAGCAAGCACCGGCUAACUUCGUGCCAGCAGCCGCCGUAA